Molecule: transfer RNA, 97 nt
Filed under: Panus rudis PR-1116 ss-1
Lineage: Eukaryota; Fungi; Basidiomycota; Agaricomycetes; Polyporales; Panaceae
Description: tRNA-Lys
Rfam family: tRNA
About the family: Transfer RNA (tRNA) molecules are approximately 80 nucleotides in length. Their secondary structure includes four short double-helical elements and three loops (D, anti-codon, and T loops).
Source: RNAcentral
GCCCGCCUAGCUCAAUCGGAUAGAGCGUCAGACUCUUAGGAGUGCGGGUGCAGAUCCUGCGAUCUGAAGGCUGCGAGUUCGACCCUCGCGGUGGGCU